GGGGAUCACUCCGCUGCAGCGACCCCUGAUAAAGGGAAUAAGCCGAAAGAGACAGAGAAUUUUCCGUAUGGUUUCACAGGUGAUCACGAACCCAAACCACCCCAGACCCCCGUUGAUUCUACUUAAAGCCACAUGAGGGUGGUGUAUAAGGAGUGCAGUCAUUCCAGAUGGCCUCAUUGCUUCAUUCUUGGCCUGCCAAACAGACGUUAUAGCAAUCCAGCUGAUGAUAGAUCCUCAUUCAGCCGCCCUCCUGCAUAGAUGAAUUCGGGAGAACUGUAAAUGAGGACUGACAUAUGUGCUUAUUCCAAACGCUAGAAAGUUGUGCCCUGUGGCAGGCAGAACAGUUUAGAGGAGAAAAGCUUAUUUUGAGAUGCCAUGACGUGUUCUCUGAAUAGCUUGCAGUGCCUGUUAGCAGACUCCGAGCAUUAAGUACCCUGUGAAGACUUUGUGUCUGUGAAAUCACUUUUUUCCGGCUGGGUGAGAUGGAGAACAUUGUUAUUGGAAAGGCGAAAAGCUGAGAAAUCUACCGAAUACAGAUAUUUUCAGAAACCGUACUUUAGCUUUGUAUCCGAGCAGAUAGUUUCUUCU
Carassius carassius (crucian carp) is the source of this 588-nucleotide long non-coding RNA. RefSeq lists it as uncharacterized. The record is from RefSeq and is a predicted model, not a curated record. The transcript has 3 exons. NCBI's taxonomy places the organism in Eukaryota, Metazoa, Chordata, Actinopteri, Cypriniformes, Cyprinidae.